Molecule: long non-coding RNA, 4486 nt
Filed under: Cricetulus griseus (Chinese hamster)
Lineage: Eukaryota; Metazoa; Chordata; Mammalia; Rodentia; Cricetidae
Description: lncRNA (ENSCGRG00015041435.1)
Source: RNAcentral
UGUGUGUGUGCGCGCGCGCGCGCGCGCGCGUGCGUGCGCGCUUUAGCCUGCUUUCUUUUUUUGGUUUUUUGAGACAGGGUUUCUCUGUAUAGCUUUGGAGCCUAUCCUGGCACUCGCUCUGGAGACCAGGCUGGCCUCGAACUCACAGAGAUCCGCCUGCCUCUGCCUCCCAAGUGCUGGGAUUAAAGGCAUGCACCACCAACGCCUAGCUCAGCCUGCUUUCUUAUAGAACCCAGGACCACCAGACCAGGGGUUGCACCAACCACCACGCGCUGCCUCCUCUCCUAAUAGAUCAUUAAGAAAAUGCCUACAUACUUGAUGACUUAUAGCUUGAUCUUCUGGAGGCAUUUUCUCAAGAGAUUCCCUCCUCUUAUAAGAUUCCAGCUUGUGUCAAGCUGGCAUAAAACUAACCUGUACACAGAUAAUAUUAAAGUUACAGAAUUUUUGUUUGUUUGCUUGUUUUUGGGUUUUUUUGAGACAGGGUUUCUCUGUAGGUUUGGAGACUGUCUUGGAACUCUCUUUGAAGACCAGGCUGGCCUCGAACUCACAGAGAUCCGCUUGCCUCCACCUCCCGAGGGCUGGGACUAAAGGCGUGCGCCAUCACUGCCUGGCCAAAAGUCACAGACUUUUUAAAGUUUAUUAUUUAUUUAUUUUGCAGGAGGGUGGGUUUUGAGUCAGGGUUUCUCUGUGGACUCAAUGUAGCCUGGAACUCAAUCUGUAGAUCAGCCUGUCUCUGCCUCCUGAGGGCUGGGAUUAAAGGCAGGCCUUACCAUGCCUAGCUUUAAAAGUUUAUUUAGCACUCAGGAGGCAGAAGCAGGCAAAUCUCAUUGAGUUAGAGAUCAGCAUAACCUAUAGAGCAAGUUCCAGGACAGCCAGGGGUAUUUUUAUUGAAAAAAUAAAAAAGUUUAUUUUAUUGGGGAAAUUUUCUUUUUUUGUGACAGCAGCUUAUUCCAGGAUAGCCUAGAACUCAUUGUCAUCCUCCUGCCUCAGCCUCUCAAGUACUGUGAUUAAGGUGUGAGCCAUCACAGAUUACUUUCUUUUUCAUUGUGCAAAUAAAAUUUUCUCCACAGGGCAAAUACUACUGUAGAGAUGUCAGUUAUUAAUGGAAACUGGAAAUCAUCUUGUUUUGCUUGAGUUAGAGGCAUUUGGUUGACUGAAGUGUUUGUUUAUUUAUUUAUUUAUUUUUAAUUGGUAAAAGUUUGUGUUGACCUGGAGAUAUGGCCCAGUUCUUUCGAGCAUUUUGUUGCUCUUGAAAAGGUCCCAGGUACCAUUCCAAUGCCGCACCCACAUGGUGGCUCACAACUCCAGUUCCAGGGAAUCCAAUGCCAUCUUCUGACCUCCUAGGGCACCAGGCACCUACAUGGUUACAUUACAUACAUGCAGGUAGAACAUUGUAUACAUAAUACAUAAAAUCUUUAUAAAAUAAUUAAAAAUGCAUAUGUAAAAAACCUACAUAGAAUUAGUUUAUCUGGUAGGCAUAAUUUCCUGGUAUAUUGAGAAAGAUUAUAUAGAAAAAUCUGUGUUCUACUUCUCCACCCCAUUAAGGACCUGUUUUAUGGUACUGGGGUUUGAACCUAGGUAAGCAAGUAUUCUAUGUGCCCAGCCUUUUUAUCUUGUUUGUUUGAGAUAGGGUUUCUCUGUGUAGCCUUGGCUGUCCUGGAACUUGCUGUGUGGUAGACCAGGCUGGCCUCGAACUCAGAUCCACCUGCCUCUGCCUCUCAGGUUUAAAGGUGUGCACCACCACCGCCCAGCACCUUUUAUCUUUUUAAGACAGGGUUUUGUUAAGUUGCCUUGAAUUUGGCAAUCUUCUGCCUUAGCUUACCAAGUAGCUUUAUACUACCAAGCCAAACAGAAAAUCAAAAACUUCCCCCCUUUUUUUAAAAUUUAAAUUCUUUAAUCACUACUCAUAUUUACAUAUCCAGCCCCUCCCAUCCUCCCAUCCUCCCAUGUUCCCCACCAACCACCCCCCAACCACCCCCCAACUCCUCCCCAGAGAUAGUGAGGCCCUCCACCAGGGACCUUCAAAGGCUGUCAUAUCAUUUGGGGGAGGGCGUAGGCCUUCCUUGCUGUAUCUGGGCUACAAUAGUAUCCCUCCAUAGGGAAUGGGCUCCCAAAGUCCAUUGUGCUCUAGGGAUAAAGACUGGCUCCACUGUUAGAGGUUUUUUCUCUCUUUUCAAACAUGACCUGACUACAUAUCCCCUGGCUGACCUGGAAUUUGUGGUGGUCCUCCUGUCUCAAUCUCCCCAGUAUUGUGAUUACGGUCAUGUAACGUUAUGUCCUGCUCAGAAAGUGCAUUUUCAAUAGACAUUUGGUAGAGUUUGAUAGCACUUUGAAAUUUAACAUUUCUGAUAUAAACAAAAUGAUCUAUGUUUUGCUUGAGACAGAAUGCCCCUUGUGAGAGGCUUCUGGGAAUAUUUAGCUAUGUUUUCAAAAUUUGGCAUCUUUACUACUUCAAAACAAAAUCCUGGUAUCCUGGGAGCCUUAAUGAUUUAUGUCCUCUGAGGAUGAUGACAGCAGAGAUGGGUGGCAGAGAUGCUCUGAAUGAGCUGUAGAUCCCUCAGAAAUAGAGUGUAGUACUCCACUGAUAGUAUUUACCCCUUCACUGUCACCCCAGUGUCUUGUCAGUACACACAGAGUUCCUGAUGCUUCAAGGGAGGUACAGAGUGGAGACCUAGGGAAGGAGGCUCAGUGCCCUGCUUUGAGGGGUGGUUGGUGUGGGCAGAGGCUUCCUGGUUGGGCUUUUCGAUUGUAAGAAGGGAGGCAGAGGAGGGAGCACCGUGAUCUCAGCACUGAUAGUAAAGUGUGGGCAGAGGCAGAAAUGUGUAGCAGGAGCUGGAGCUCAUGAAUAGGAAGUCAGCUGUGCUUUUGCAUUUGCUGCCCUGUGCUGGGCAGAUCCUAGAGAAGCAGGCCGUGGCCAUACACUUUCUUCCCUUGCCUGUUGAAUUGGGCAGUUGGGUGAUCCUUGGCAUAUGCCCCCUCUGGAACACUGAGCAGACGUGCUGUGUUAACAUCAGCCGUACCCAGUGUUCAUGAACUGGUAUCACAUCAGGUCUCUGGGGCAGCCCUUUUCCCUGCACUGAAUGGUGCACCGGAAAGGUGGCCUGAAGCAUUCUUUGUCUUUCUUAAGAUCUGUGCUAUUGCUUCAUUCUGGUUCCUGGGAUCAAUCGGAAGAUCUGGGAAUGGCUAGGAGGAAAGGGAGCUAGCUGGUGGGAUCUGGAUGAGUAUUGGUAACCCUGAAUGGCAGCUCAAUCAGGAGUUUCCCAGCCUUGACCCAUAAUUAUGGGUAGAGAAUGAAAGCACCAGCUAUGCCUCUGGAAGAAAGCAGUCUGAUGAGGGAUGAAGUGAGACCUGUUUUGAGCACCAUUGCCUGUGGAGGUUCACCUUGAGGACUAAAUUGAGGGCCAGGAGAGUUACUGCAACUAGGCAGCAUGGUCUGUGAGUAGUGGUGAGGCGUGUCCUGUGUCUGUGAUCAUAAGUAGGUUUGUGUGUGGUGUACACUUGCCUGCUCCUCUGGUCCCCGCCCACAGGCAUAUUUGGAAACGGGGCUGUGCAUGUAGACACGUGCGGCAGAAUCUGGGAGGCUGAAGCCAGGAGCUCUGGUGCCUUUUGUUAGGCCCUCCUUUUCUCACCCUGAAACCCGGUUCUCCCUGUGACUGACUUGAUAGAAUGUAAUACUGAUGGGCAGCAGUAAUCUGGUGACAGACAGGCCAGGAACAACUUGGUCCACGCUGCUUAGACUCAUAAUCCCCUUCCUGUGAUUUAUUGCUUAGAUUCCUCUUGCUCAUCUUGGUCCAUUUUCUUCACCUCCUUAGAAUAGUUAAAAUCUCAGCUGGAUGUUGGUGGUGCACGCCUUUAAUCCCAGCACUUGGGAGGCAGAGGCAGGAGGAUCUCUGUUAGUUUGAGACCAGCCUGGUCUACAAGAGCUAGUUCCAGGACAGCCUCCAAAGCCACAGAGAAACCCAGUCUCGAAAAACCAAACCAAACCAAAACAAAACAAAACAAAAUCUCAGCUUCAUAAUAGUAAUAAAAAAAGAUCAAUUAUUUAUUUUAUGUGUGUGGGUAUUUUUCCACGUUUGUUUGUUCACCACGUGAGUCCUGGGCACCCUCAGAAGCUCGAGAAGAGCGGUGAGACAGUUCUGUGGAUGCUGUGAAUUGAAUCUGGUUCUCUUAAGUGUUGAGACAUCACCAACUCUCCCAGCUCCGCACUUUCACAGUGAGCCCCAUUUUAGUUUUCUUAAAGAGAUGCCUCAGAAGGCAGAUUUCUUUCUUCCUUUUUUUUUUUUUUAAAGAUGUAUUUAUUUAUUUUGUAUACAGUGUUCUGCCUGCACACCAGAAGAGGGCAUCAGAUCUCAUUACAGAUGGUUGUGAGCCACCAUGUGGUUGCUGGGAAUCGAACUCAGGACCUCUGGAAGAGCAGACAGUGCUCUUAACCUCUGAGGCAUCUCUCCAGCCCCAGGAAGCAGAUUUCUGUUCUCUAAGUCCCCCC